GUGCUCGCUUUGGCAGCACAUAUACUAAAAUUGGAACGGUACAGAGAAGAUUAGCAUGGCCCAUGCACAAGGAUGACACGCAAAUUUGUAAAGCGUUCCAUAUUUUU
RNAcentral lists this small nuclear RNA (107 nucleotides) under Myotis brandtii (Brandt's bat). Lineage: Eukaryota; Metazoa; Chordata; Mammalia; Chiroptera; Vespertilionidae. The record is from RNAcentral.